UGGAUGGAACAUUCUGCUCUUUCUCCAUCUGCUGCCUACCCAUGAUGUCUUGGGACUCCUAGAACCCUAAAGGAAGCCCCUGGACACGCAGGAAGGUGAUCCAGAAUUACUCCCGAACUCUACCAGCUGAAAUCCUCCUCAACUCACAUCAGACAAGACGGCCCUGCCACUUACCUGUCAGAUCACUUUGGGCAGUUUACAGGAGAGAAGAUGCAGCCUGGGAGAGAUGCAGCAGGUGUCUGAGGCCACACAGCAAGUCACCCAGGGCCAGGAUCUGAAGCUGGGUCUCUCCAGCUCCACUGCCUGGGCACUUUCUCCUCCACAGCGACCUUCAGGUCAUCAUGAGGAGCCUUUCGGACUAAAGCUAGAGAGCUGGGAUUCCAACAGUUCAGCAACCCAUGACUUCUCCAUGGCAGCUGCUGCCUGACCACCUAGUGCCUUUCCACUAAGAUUGUUCCUUCCCUCUCCUGAAGAUUAUCCUCCUGCCCCUCUCUCCCAAACAUCUGCGGUGUGCACCUGCUGCCCAAAGUUGAACUUUUUUUUGUUAGAGACAGGGCCUCACUGUGUCAUCCAGGCUGGAGUGCAGUGGCGUGAUCAUAGCUCACUGCAGCCUCCAACUCCUGGGCUCAAGUGACCCUCUCACCUCAGCUUCCUGAGUAGCUGGGACUACAGGCAUGCACCACCACGCCUGGCUAAUUUUUAAAUUUUUUGCAGAGACAGGGUCUAGCUAUGUUGCCCACCCUGGUCUUGAACUCCUGGGCUCAAGCAAUCUGUCUGCCUUGGUCUCCCAGCUCGCUGGGAUUACAGGCAUGAAUCACCAUGCCCGGUCCUCCAAAGUUGAACUUUUGAGACUCAGUUUCCUUCUUGGUAAAUUCAGGCUCCUAGGUGCUACCUCCUCAGAGACAUCCUCCUUGACCACAUCACAUGACCUCUCGCAGAGGCCAGAUUCUUUAAUGUAUUCAUUUGUCUAUUAUCAUGUUUCCCCAGUAGAAGUUGCACAAACGGCAGGGGCUUCAUCUGUUUUGUUUGCCGUUAUGUCCUUAGCACCUAAAAUUGUGCCUGGCACAUAUAGUACUCAGUAUGUAUUUGCUGGGUCAAUGAGUGAGUGAAUUUAUACUAAUAACAGCAGCUACCAUUUCUAGAGUGUUUACCAUAUAUUGGGCACUGUGUCAAUCUUCCCAACAACCCACAGACGAAGAUCAAUUAUUACACCCAUUGUACAGAUCAGGAAACUGAGUCAGGUUAAGAAACUUGCCCUAAAUCCUACAGUCUCACUUAGAACUUCUGACUGCAGUGCUCAUCAGAAUGCAUUGUCAACCCAAAGGUCAUUUCCAGCUCAGGUGGCUUCUAUCAAAAGAGCUCAUCCUGGCCUUUCCAAGAGCCAGACCUCCGACAUCGGUGGAGCCCUGUGCAUAGCUGGCCUCUCCUGGGCGUCUUGUCCCAAGUACAGAGACCUGGAUCCUUUCCCACUCAUGU
RNAcentral lists this long non-coding RNA (1476 nucleotides) under Homo sapiens (human). RNAcentral's name for it is "long independently transcribed non-coding RNA 2594 (LINC02594)". Lineage: Eukaryota; Metazoa; Chordata; Mammalia; Primates; Hominidae. The record is from RNAcentral.